This 790-nucleotide ribosomal RNA is filed under the name Staphylococcus epidermidis. RNAcentral's name for it is "bacterial SSU rRNA". It matches the Rfam family "Bacterial small subunit ribosomal RNA", at positions 34 to 806 of the family's 1533-position model. Lineage: Bacteria; Bacillati; Bacillota; Bacilli; Caryophanales; Staphylococcaceae. The record is from RNAcentral.
CGCUGGCGGCGUGCCUAAUACAUGCAAGUCGAGCGAACAGACGAGGAGCUUGCUCCUCUGACGUUAGCGGCGGACGGGUGAGUAACACGUGGAUAACCUACCUAUAAGACUGGGAUAACUUCGGGAAACCGGAGCUAAUACCGGAUAAUAUAUUGAACCGCAUGGUUCAAUAGUGAAAGACGGUUUUGCUGUCACUUAUAGAUGGAUCCGCGCCGCAUUAGCUAGUUGGUAAGGUAACGGCUUACCAAGGCAACGAUGCGUAGCCGACCUGAGAGGGUGAUCGGCCACACUGGAACUGAGACACGGUCCAGACUCCUACGGGAGGCAGCAGUAGGGAAUCUUCCGCAAUGGGCGAAAGCCUGACGGAGCAACGCCGCGUGAGUGAUGAAGGUCUUCGGAUCGUAAAACUCUGUUAUUAGGGAAGAACAAAUGUGUAAGUAACUAUGCACGUCUUGACGGUACCUAAUCAGAAAGCCACGGCUAACUACGUGCCAGCAGCCGCGGUAAUACGUAGGUGGCAAGCGUUAUCCGGAAUUAUUGGGCGUAAAGCGCGCGUAGGCGGUUUUUUAAGUCUGAUGUGAAAGCCCACGGCUCAACCGUGGAGGGUCAUUGGAAACUGGAAAACUUGAGUGCAGAAGAGGAAAGUGGAAUUCCAUGUGUAGCGGUGAAAUGCGCAGAGAUAUGGAGGAACACCAGUGGCGAAGGCGACUUUCUGGUCUGUAACUGACGCUGAUGUGCGAAAGCGUGGGGAUCAAACAGGAUUAGAUACCCUGGUAGUCCACGCCGUAAA